UACGUAGGGGGCAAGCGUUGUCCGGAUUUAUUGGGCGUAAAGAGCGUGUAGGCGGCCUUACAGGUCAGCUGUGAAAACUCGAGGCUCAACCUCGAGACGUCGGUUGAAACCGUAAGGCUAGAGUCCGGAAGAGGAGAGUGGAAUUCCCGGUGUGAGCGGUGAAAUGCGCAGAUAUCGGGAAGAACACCCGUGGCGAAGGCGGCUCUCUGGGACGGUACUGACGCUGAGACGCGAAAGCGUGGGGAGCGAACAGG
This 254-nucleotide ribosomal RNA is filed under the name uncultured bacterium. Its description in RNAcentral is "partial 16S ribosomal RNA". It matches the Rfam family "Bacterial small subunit ribosomal RNA", at positions 524 to 776 of the family's 1533-position model. The record is from RNAcentral.